RNAcentral lists this ribosomal RNA (320 nucleotides) under uncultured bacterium. Its description in RNAcentral is "bacterial SSU rRNA". It matches the Rfam family "Bacterial small subunit ribosomal RNA", at positions 29 to 326 of the family's 1533-position model. The record is from RNAcentral.
AGCGAACGCUGGCGGCGUACUUAACACAUGCAAGUCGAACGAGGGUCGCUACGUGAGCAAUCAUGUGGUGGUUCUAGUGGCGUACGGGUGAGUAACACGUGGGUAACCGUGCCCUCGGAGACCGGGAUACCCUCCCGAAAGGGAGGCUAAUACCGGAUACGUUCCCCAGACCGCGAGAUCGAGGGGAGGAAAGGUGGCGCAAGCUACCGCUCGUUCGGAGGGGCUCGCGACCUAUCAGCUAGGUUGGGAGGUGACGGCUCACCAAGGCGAUGACGGGUAGCUGGUCUGAGAGGACGACCAGCCACACGGGGACUGAGACA